Molecule: ribosomal RNA, 774 nt
Filed under: uncultured Neocallimastigales
Lineage: Eukaryota; Fungi; Neocallimastigomycota; Neocallimastigomycetes; Neocallimastigales
Description: partial large subunit ribosomal RNA
Rfam family: Eukaryotic large subunit ribosomal RNA
Source: RNAcentral
GUACACGCUGUGACUAGCAUAUCAAUAAGCGGAGGAAAAGAAACUAACAAGGAUUCCCCUAGUAACGGCGAGUGAAGCGGGAAGAGCUCAAAUUUGAAAUCUUAAAGGGUUUCCCUUUACGAAUUGUAGUUUAAAGAAGUGUUUUCUGUUGAGGUUUUGGUAGAAGUUCUUUGGAAUAGGACAUCAUAGAGGGUGAGAAUCCCGUAUUUGACCUUUACUUUCAACUUUGUGAUACACUUUCAAAGAGUCGGAUUGUUUGGGAAUGCAGUCCAAAAUGGGUGGUAAAUUUCAUCUAAAGCUAAAUAUUGGCGAGAGACCGAUAGCGAACAAGUACCGUGAGGGAAAGAUGAAAAGAACUUUGAAAAGAGAGUUAAACAGUACGUGAAAUUGUCAAAAGGGAAGCGUUUGACACCAGUGUUGUUUUUCUGAAAAUCAAUUAAAGAACUGUUUAUGCUAAGCUGUUUAGACUUUAUCAGCUAUACUGUUUAGUUUGAGCUUUUCUUUAAUGCACUUUUCAGUUAACAAGUCAACAUCAAUUUCUUUUGCUGUAAAAAAGCUUGAGGAAGGUGGCUUGAGAUUCGUCUUAAGUGUUUAUAGCCUCUUGCCUAUGCAGUCGGAGAGAUUGAGGUCUGCAGCGUAGAUCCUUCGGGGCUAAAUGCAUUUGUGCUAAGUUAUAGCAUUUUAUAGACAACUUGUUGACUAUGAUUUGUCUUGUAGCUUACUCGCUUAUGUUAUUUUACCUACGCUUAGGAUGUUGAACUACUGAGACAUAGA